AGAGUUUGAUCCUGGCUCAGGAUAAACGCUGGCGGCGUGCCUAACACAUGCAAGUCGAACGCCUUCUGGCUCCGGUCAGAGGGAGUGGCGGACGGGUGAGUAACACGUGGGUAAUCGACCCUCAAGUGAGGAAUACCGCCGGGAAACCGGUGACAAUACCGCAUAGGCUCUCGCAAGAGAGCAAAGCUUCGCAAGAGGCGCUUGAGGACGAGCCUGCGUCCGAUUAGUUAGCUGGUGGGGUAAUGGCCUACCAGGGCAAUGAUCGGUAGCUGGUCUGAGAGGAUGAUCAGCCACACUGGGAUUGAGAACGGCCCAGACUCCUACGGGAGGCAGCAGUGAGGAAUUUUCCGCAAUGGGGGGAACCCUGACGGAGCAACGCCGCGUGCAGGAUGAAGGUCUUCGGAUCGUAAACUGCUUUUCUCGGGGAAGAGAACGGACGGUACCCGAGGAAUAAGCCCCGGCUAACUACGUGCCAGCAGCCGCGGUAAUACGUAGGGGGCGAGCGUUAUCCGGAAUUACUGGGCGUAAAGCGCAUGCAGGCGGUUUUCCAAGUUCCGGCUGACAAUCACGUAGCUUAACUCGUGAAGGUGUCGGAAAACUGGGAGACUUGAGACAUCGAGAGGCAGAUGGAAUUCCGUGUGGAGCAGUGAAAUGCGUAGAGAUGCGGAAGAACACCAGAGGCGAAGGCGAUCUGCUGGCGAUGCUCUGACGCUCAGAUGCGAAAGCCAGGGGAGCGAACAGGAUUAGAUACCCUGGUAGUCC
RNAcentral lists this ribosomal RNA (762 nucleotides) under uncultured bacterium. RNAcentral's name for it is "bacterial SSU rRNA". It matches the Rfam family "Bacterial small subunit ribosomal RNA", at positions 8 to 796 of the family's 1533-position model. The record is from RNAcentral.